Molecule: ribosomal RNA, 489 nt
Filed under: uncultured bacterium
Lineage: Bacteria
Description: bacterial SSU rRNA
Rfam family: Bacterial small subunit ribosomal RNA
Source: RNAcentral
GCCCUUAGAGUUUGAUCCUGGCUCAGGACGAACGCUGGCGGCGCGCCUAACACAUGCAAGUCGAACGGAGCUUAGAGAGCUUGCUUUUUAAGCUUAGUGGCGAACGGGUGAGUAACGCGUGAGUAACCUGCCCUAGAGUGGGGGACAACAGUUGGAAACGACUGCUAAUACCGCAUAAGCCCACGGUACCGCAUGGUACUGAGGGAAAAGGAUUUAUUCGCUUUAGGAUGGACUCGCGUCCAAUUAGCUAGUUGGUGAGGUAACGGCCCACCAAGGCGACGAUUGGUAGCCGGACUGAGAGGUUGAACGGCCACAUUGGGACUGAGACACGGCCCAGACUCCUACGGGAGGCAGCAGUGGGGGAUAUUGCACAAUGGGGGAAACCCUGAUGCAGCGACGCCGCGUGGAGGAAGAAGGUUUUCGGAUUGUAAACUCCUGUCGUUAGGGACGAUAAUGACGAUACCUAACAAGAAAGCACCGGCUACUCUG